Long non-coding RNA from Polistes dominula (European paper wasp), 726 nucleotides. RefSeq lists it as uncharacterized. The record is from RefSeq and is a predicted model, not a curated record. NCBI's taxonomy places the organism in Eukaryota, Metazoa, Arthropoda, Insecta, Hymenoptera, Vespidae.
UCACCUGGUUUAACUUACCUGGAAGAUCGAAGAUCGAACAUCGACAAGAAGAAAAGCUCCUCAGAGCCUUACUGGCUAAUCAUACGACACCACACCACUCUCCAACCUCAUGGUUGGUUGGGUCGGUGUUGGUAAUGACAACUAUCGUCGUAUUGGCUAAGGACAAGGAGAAUAUGACUCUUCGAUGACACCUAACAUCAUUAAUUGGUCAAACAGUCAAUUACAUCAAUAUCAUUGCUUUUCUUGCAAUCUCAAGAAGUUAUGACGAUUACUUGGUCGAAUUCCUAUUCGAAGUAUCGGUAAACACAAUGGAAAAAAUUACUCGUAUCAAACCAGAAUUUUUUACCACCCACUCUUCUGAUGUAUAUAGAUAUACACAUCAAUUGUUUUUCACCGGAUACAAUAACACGAAUCAUCGAAUUACUUAUGAAAAAACAAAUACUUGGUAUAAAUCAAAUUGACGGUUGGAAAUUAAUCGUCAAAUAGUUAAUCCAGAUUAUAACAAGAAUAUGAUCCAUCUAUUGUAUUGAUGUUGGAAAUCAAGUUACGUUCUUCAUACAAAAUCUGAAAAUAUCAUGAAAAGUAUUACGUUUUACGAGUAUCAAUGGAAUAUGAUGAACGUAAAAUUAUCUUCAGGAUUUUCAUCACGAUCAAGACAUCUUCCAGGGAGGUUCCUCGUCGAGUACCAAUCAACGAAUCAAAUCUUAAUUGUUUUUACAAAAUUUU